UAUCUCAAUAAGAACAACAACAAUAAUAAAUAAAGAGGCAAUUGUGUUCCACCUGUGCAUGCAAUUAUCAGUCACAGAAAACUGAACAAGAUAAGGGGAGAUUCAUUCUUUUCUCUGAUGUGCAAAGGCUACCUCCACAGUAGUGAGGAGCAUGACAAAAAAGCUUUUUGUCUUUGUUUCAGGGGCAGCUCCCUGCUUCGAUGGAGAGAAGCAUCCUCUGCCCCCACCUGCCCAGGAAAGAAACAAAGUGGUGCUACUUUUGUCAGCUGCCCAGCCCAAGUGAAUAUUGCACCUGUCACUAUCUCCAGGCUGAUAGUACAGGAUAUGCAGAUUUUACCUUUGGAUGGGAGAACAUGGAUCACAGCUGUUUUGAUAGAGUUGUAUGGAGCUGGUGAAUAAGGAAGCCUAACCAAAGCAACGAUUGCCACGUCAACAUGCUUCACCUCAGACUGUGUCCAGAGAUUUCACGUGUGGAAUGACAACCCUUCAGCUUCAUUACUCGGGUGAGACCUUUCCUUUUAUAGUACACUCUAAUUUCAUCUCAGGUGGUUCACUUUCUAACAAAGUCCCAUAACCCAGAUAUACACCAGUUUCUGUGGGAGAGAGCUUAUGUGCACACGUAUCCAUAGACUACUACAAGAUAUAUGCCUGAAAGCAGAAGUACAAGAUAUAUGCCUAAAGCAGAAGUAGAGUUUGCAGUGAGUACCUCCCUAACACUUCCUCUCCACUAUUCCAAGCUUGGGAUCCAUGAUUGCUCAACAAAUUGUUUGGCUUCAUAUGUUAACUCUCUUUUCGAUCACCAGGUUCCAGAUGCCACCAGGAUGCUGGCUAGGCUUCCCUGGAUUGAAGACCCCACCAAUGUGUCCUGGAGCUCAGCUUCUCCAGAGACACACCUUACUAGGGAAAGAGAGAGGCAGACUGGGAGUGUGGACUGACCAGUCGACGCCCAUGUUCAGCGGGGAAGCAACUGCAGAGGCCAGACCUUCUACCUUCUGCAACCCUCAAUGACCCUGGGUCCAUGCGCCCAGAGGGCUAGAGAAUGGGAGGGCUAUCAUGGGAGGGAGUGGGUUAUGGGGAUUGGGUGGUGGGAAUUGUGUGGAGUUGUAUCCCUCCUACCUUAUGUUUUUGUUCAUUGAUCCUUUCUUAAAUAAAAAAUUAAAAAAAACAACAACAACAACAACAAAAUUUUUGGUCCAUACUCCCAGAGGGAUACAGAAUAGGGAAAUUUGUGACUAUGCAGUGGCACACCUGGCUAAACACUCACAUUACAGUGUGCAAGAACCCAGAUUCAAGCCCCUAGUCCCCACCUGCAGGAGGAAAGCUUCACAAGCAGUGAAACAGUGCUGCAAGUGUCUCUUUCUCUCUC
This is a long non-coding RNA of Erinaceus europaeus (western European hedgehog), 1366 nucleotides long. RefSeq lists it as uncharacterized. Lineage: Eukaryota; Metazoa; Chordata; Mammalia; Eulipotyphla; Erinaceidae. The transcript has 4 exons. The record is from RefSeq and is a predicted model, not a curated record.